UCUAAAUUUAUUGACGCUGGGAUUGAAGC
Molecule: non-coding RNA, 29 nt
Filed under: Rattus norvegicus (Norway rat)
Lineage: Eukaryota; Metazoa; Chordata; Mammalia; Rodentia; Muridae
Source: RNAcentral